CACGUAGGGCGCAAGCGUUGUCCGGAAUUAUUGGGCGUAAAGAGCUCGUAGGUGGUUUGUUACGUCUGCUGUGAAAACCUAGGGCUUAACCCUGGGCUUGCAGUGGAUACGGGCAGACUAGAGGUAGGUAGGGGAGAAUGGAAUUCCUGGUGUAGCGGUGAAAUGCGCAGAUAUCAAGAGGAACACCGGUGGCGAAGGCGGCGUCCUGGACCAACACUGACACUGAUGAGCGAAAGCCAGGGGAGCAAACGGG
This 253-nucleotide ribosomal RNA is filed under the name uncultured bacterium. RNAcentral describes it as "partial 16S ribosomal RNA". It matches the Rfam family "Bacterial small subunit ribosomal RNA", at positions 524 to 776 of the family's 1533-position model. The record is from RNAcentral.